UUAAUCAGCCAACUUUAUUCACUGGAGCAAAUAUUUAUAUUUUCAUGUCACAUUCACAGAGAUUAACAUAUAUUUUGACAUGUGAUGUGAUGCUAACAUGCAUUAACACUGCAUUGCAGCUCUACCUGCACCAGUCAGUGAACCUGGGUUACAAAAUGUUUGUGUGACCUUGGGGGUGUAGUUUCUGUUAUGUGUGGAGAACCUUAAAUCCUCUUUUUACCAGAUCACACAGAUACGGUUGUAAGAAUUAUCAGAGGCACUGUUGCAAAUUAAAUACAGUUUAUUGAUUUCAUAAGUUUCUUUGGACAGAGAGUUUAUUUUAUUAUACAAAAUUGACCACAUUAAUAGCAAAGGUCUAUGCUGGCCCUGGAAACCUCAAAGCUAAGAUACAAUUAAACCCAAUUAAAUAACAUUAGACUGUUUGGGGGAGGAAUAAUAAUAAAGAAAACACAAAUACAACUAAAUGCACCCAAGUGUUCCCCAACAAAAACACAGUCACACAAAAAGCCCUGGUGAAACAGCAAAGGAAAGAAAAACUCCCCUUCCACUAGUCUCCUCAAUCUGAAUAAAAUAGCUUUGGACCCAGAGACAGCAUAGAUCAUUUUUAUUAUUUAAAACAAGCCAGAAGGCUAGACAAUAAAAACUCCCCUUCCUUCAACAAAACUAGCAAAAAAGAAAAUACCUUUAAUUAAUAAUAACUAACCCAAAAAAAAGGAAAGAAAUACUAAACUAAAACAAAAACUGAAACAGUAGCAGGCCAAUCUGCACAUAAAAGACAUCAAAUUAGACAAGCACCUUAAGUAGUCAGAUAAUUAUGAGAAACUGUGGUUCUCUGUACGUCACUCGCUCUAGAAGUAUCUCUCCUCUGUAGGAAUCAUCAGCCUGGGAUCUGAUCUCCUCAGCGAUCUACCUGCUUUUAAAUGCAACUACUGAUUACCUGUCUGGCUAACGAACCAGCUGCGCUCUGUCACGGCGUUUUCCAUAUAUGGGCAAAAGGAAGAACGCGCAACACUAUACUUCUGGGACAAAAUGCCCCGGCUACAUAAUUAUUCACUUACAUGCAAAAGAGAUCUUGUUUCUGUAUCACUCUAAACCUCUACAGACAUUUAUUAAUGUAGAACUACUGUAUGACUCUGGAACUCAUUAUGGCACAUCACAAUAAUCAUCAGCAUUAUUAUUAUGGUGAAAAUGACCCACAUCCCAACUGUAAACAAUGCAUCCAAGUUGUGUCCAGCAGAGUAAAAAUAUUUCCACAGCAAAUAAAUGAUCAAGUCUCUCUUCACCAAUAUGGUUGAAAAAGGAACUUCUUGUCGUAAUCUAAAAAAAAAUUAUAAGAAACAUAAAAAACUAAAAAGACAAGCAGCAGUAAAACUGCAACAGGCUGCAUACACGUUAAUGCAUACAUACAUAACCAUCCAUGAAUACUAGAUUAAAAACCUUAAAAACAGUAAAAAUGUAGAAAUUACCACAAAGACAAUCAAGACAUUAAUUCCCCAUUUCCCGCUCUUUCCCCUCCCACCAGUGGCAGCAGUAUAGAGUCUAAUUUUCUGCGGUACAAAGGAGUUCAUGAGCCUCUGAACUGAGCAGCCCACUAACAGGAAUCUGCCUUGGAGGGAGUUUCCUCUGCUGGGAGAAAACUGUUACAACGGGUGGCUGGUCCAGAACUGACCUCAACUUGGACAGUGCUUUCUUUUCCACCAGUGUCUCAGCAAACUCCAGGCUCAUCCUAACCACAGAGGCAGCUUUCCUGAUUAGAUGGUCCAACCCUGAUUAGAUGGUCCAACCCAUUUCCUUGUUAUUCCCCAACAGAUCACUGCAUAGGAAGGUAAACUUGCCACAAUCAUCCGAUAAAUUACUGUAUCUCAAAGUUCACAUAAAAAGAGGCAAGAUUCCUCACAAAAUACAUCAGGCUCUGUUCUUUUCUGUAUAUCAUGUUAUGUUUGUCUGUCAGCUCAAAGUAAACCCAGGUACUUGUAUGUGCUGACCACUUCUACAUUAUUACCAUCUAUAGUAAAGGGAGUGUUACCCUGCAAAAGUCCAGUACUGUCUUUGUUCAUGUGAUGAUUGAUGCAUACUCAGAAAAAUGGAAAGCCCAAGAAACUAAGAAAAUCUGCAACUGUACUUUGCAAAGAAAAUCUUUUUCAGAGUCAUUUGUAAGCAGCAGUAACAUCCAUGAUGUAGCAGCUCCCCAGCAGUUGAAUUAACCAGAAAGUCUCGACGGGUGAAUUUAGCGUUUUUAUUUUUCUUCGAGUGAUUUAGAAUCACCACAGUCACCAGUCACCGUGAAAACUAAAACAUAUACAAAUACUAAAAUACAAACAUAAACUUACAAUACAAACAACAAAACAAAACGUACCUCGCUGCUUUCACUGGGGAACACUAAGUGUUGAUUUCUUCAUGCUACUCAGCUUGACAGUUCAAGUCAUUGAUUGACACGACAAUUCUACCAGCUUUUAAAGGGCCUGCCCUCAUUAGUUACGGCAGCCCAAGAGGUACAACAAAAAAA
Molecule: long non-coding RNA, 2506 nt
Organism: Xiphophorus hellerii (green swordtail)
Lineage: Eukaryota; Metazoa; Chordata; Actinopteri; Cyprinodontiformes; Poeciliidae
Exons: 2
Source: RefSeq, a predicted model, not a curated record